Molecule: RNA transcript, 1863 nt
Organism: Panicum hallii
Lineage: Eukaryota; Viridiplantae; Streptophyta; Magnoliopsida; Poales; Poaceae
Exons: 13
Source: RefSeq, a predicted model, not a curated record
GCUCUGCCACGUCGGCACGGCCUGAACCCUCCGGACUCUGUCCUCCUUCCGCCCCCACCCCAUUCCUUCCGCCUCGCCGAUCCCGCCGGCGGGAUGGCUGGCCCGCGCCCCCUCCCCCGCCGGAUCCUCCAUCUCGCCGCCGCCAUCGCGGUCGCCGCCUGCGCCUGCUUCCCUGCCCCCGUCUCCGGUAUCCGGAAGGACAUUGGCUUUAUUGAACCAAUUAUGUGCAGAAGCACUGUUCAGGGACGGCAUCUGAUCUCUGAUGAUAAUGGUUAUGUAUGCUCUGCACUUUCAAUCAAUCCAUGGUCUCACUGUUGCCCAACAGCAGGGGACCGCUUUUCCUGCCAGGGCUGCAAGCAUGAUUUACAGUGCUGCAACUCUUAUGAAUAUUGUGUUUCUUGCUGUUUGAAUCCUUCUAAGACCAAGAAAGAAGAUGUGCUGAAGCUGAAGGUAGCUAAGCCAGUUACUGCUGGAACAUACACAAAUAUUUUUGAUUUCUGCAUGGGAAGAUGCCGCCAUAGCUCUGCAAGUGUGGUUCAUGAAAAUGCCUACGCCAGUGACUUCCAUCAUUGUUUUUCAGUACAGCAAAAUUCUUCAGGAUCAACUGAACCUAGUUCUGUAUCAAAGUUGUUGGGCAUUAAUGUCGUAGUAGGAAGGCCAGGAGAAUCUUGCAGCUUGGUUUGCAAAGUAAGAGGACAGUCAUGUGUUCCGAGCAGGCUCUCUGUCUUGAACAAAUGUGAGAUUUUGCAGAAAUAUAUGAGAUGCAAAAGCGGCUGCUUUCGCAGCCUUGGACCAGAUCAGCCUGCUGAAGUUGUUGAUGAAGCUCCGACCAGCUUGAAUCCAGGAGCAUGCUUAUAUAUGCAGAUGGAUGAGCGACUCACAUGUGAUGGUUCACAUCAGCAUACCCAGAGGCUCUGUCCAUGUGCAUGAGAAGGAAUAAAGGAAUGUGACACACAUAAGAGAGUAGAGGAAACAAGUGGAGAUGAUAAGCUGAAAACCAGUGGUUCUCCAUCACCCCCAUGAUGAACAACCAUUCUGCAUACUGGUUGCUUCAAGCCCUCAACACAAACAUCCUACUUUUGGGCAGGAUCAUGGAUGCAAAAGGAAAUGGGGUACCCGCUAAUCUUUGCAUGGUAUUUGGUAGGAUGUUGCCUGCUGAAUGAAAAUACAUGCAGCAUGGGUAGUGCCUUGCUCACUGUACAUACCAUCGAGUGCUGAGAUGCAUUGCAUCCAUACUUUCCUCAUAAUUUAUAUUUGUGGCUGUCCUGCGCAGGCUGUUUCACUUUCUUGUCUGCAAGCAUCAUUCAUGUGCAGAGCAAACACCUGAACCAAUUAUAUUCAUAAUAUAUUGCACAAUUUCUCAUGCAUGUUCAAGAAAGUACGAAAAACAGAACUACAGAUACAUGUUCUUUUAAAUCAAUUACACCAUGCCAACAUCUCUGCAUCACAAACUCCCAUGCCUUUUUUUUUUCCAGGCUCAAAAGGAGUAGUUAGGCUUGAAAUCUUUCAUAAAGUUUGGUCUCUCCCUCCCUUUGUUAUCAUCUUUGCUCUGGCCAGCAGCUGUAACACUCUCCUCCGCCGCGGCUUGGUUUUCCUGGCUCUCUUCCACGAAGGCCGGGUGGGUGAAGAUGUUCCCCAGCAGCUGUGUCCCCCUGAGGGCAUUGGUGAGCGGCAGGUGACCUUCAGGGGGUGCAUCUGGGAGAGAAUACAAAGGAGGGCUGUGAUUGGUGGGUUCUGGGUGAGAUGAGGAUACUGGCUACGCAGCAGAGAUAUGCCAAGGAGGUGAGGAUGUGGGGUGUGUAGGCCGAGUCCACAGAACAGUUCUGAUAUGUUGUGCAUUCUUUGGCACUCGUGCCCCAAAAA